Molecule: ribosomal RNA, 350 nt
Filed under: uncultured microorganism
Description: bacterial SSU rRNA
Rfam family: Bacterial small subunit ribosomal RNA
Source: RNAcentral
GAGUUUGAUCGUGGCUCAGGAUGAACGCUGGCGGCGUGCCUAAUACAUGCAAGUCGAGCGAACAGACGAGGAGCUUGCUCCUCUGACGUUAGCGGCGGACGGGUGAGUAACACGUGGAUAACCUACCUAUAAGACUGGGAUAACUUCGGGAACCGGAGCUAAUACCGGAUAAUAUAUUGAACCGCAUGGUUCAAUAGUGAAAGACGGUUUUGCUGUCACUUAUAGAUGGAUCCGCGCCGCAUUAGCUAGUUGGUAAGGUAACGGCUUACCAAGGCACGAUGCGUAGCCGACCUGAGAGGGUGAUCGGCCACACUGGAACUGAGACACGGUCCAGGCUCCUACGGGAGGCA